This 1276-nucleotide ribosomal RNA is filed under the name Salmonella enterica subsp. houtenae. RNAcentral's name for it is "partial 23S ribosomal RNA". It matches the Rfam family "Bacterial large subunit ribosomal RNA", at positions 1589 to 2841 of the family's 2925-position model. The record is from RNAcentral. Lineage: Bacteria; Pseudomonadati; Pseudomonadota; Gammaproteobacteria; Enterobacterales; Enterobacteriaceae.
AGCAACAAAUGCCCUGCUUCCAGGAAAAGCCUCUAAGCCUCAGGUAACAUCAAAUCGUACCCCAAACCGACACAGGUGGUCAGGUAGAGAAUACCAAGGCGCUUGAGAGAACUCGGGUGAAGGAACUAGGCAAAAUGGUGCCGUAACUUCGGGAGAAGGCACGCUGACACGUAGGUGAAGUGGUUUACCCAUGGAGCUGAAGUCAGUCGAAGAUACCAGCUGGCUGCAACUGUUUAUUAAAAACACAGCACUGUGCAAACACGAAAGUGGACGUAUACGGUGUGACGCCUGCCCGGUGCCGGAAGGUUAAUUGAUGGGGUCAGCGCAAGCGAAGCUCCUGAUCGAAGCCCCGGUAAACGGCGGCCGUAACUAUAACGGUCCUAAGGUAGCGAAAUUCCUUGUCGGGUAAGUUCCGACCUGCACGAAUGGCGUAAUGAUGGCCAGGCUGUCUCCACCCGGGACUCAGUGAAAUUGAACUCGCUGUGAAGAUGCAGUGUACCCGCGGCAAGACGGAAAGACCCCGUGAACCUUUACUAUAGCUUGACACUGAACACUGGUCCUUGAUGUGCAGGAUAGGUGGGAGGCUUUGAAGUGUGGACGCCAGUCUGCAUGGAGCCAUCCUUGAAAUACCACCCUUUAAUGGCUGGUGUUCUAACGUGGGCCCGUGAACCGGGUUGCGGACAGUGUCUGGUGGGUAGUUUGACUGGGGCGGUCUCCUCCUAAAGAGUAACGGAGGAGCACGAAGGUUGGCUAAUCCUGGUCGGACAUCAGGAGGUUAGUGCAAUGGCAUAAGCCAGCUUGACUGCGAGCGUGACGGCGCGAGCAGGUGCGAAAGCAGGUCAUAGUGAUCCGGUGGUUCUGAAUGGAAGGGCCAUCGCUCAACGGAUAAAAGGUACUCCGGGGAUAACAGGCUGAUACCGCCCAAGAGUUCAUAUCGACGGCGGUGUUUGGCACCUCGAUGUCGGCUCAUCACAUCCUGGGGCUGAAGUAGGUCCCAAGGGUAUGGCUGUUCGCCAUUUAAAGUGGUACGCGAGCUGGGUUUAGAACGUCGUGAGACAGUUCGGUCCCUAUCUGCCGUGGGCGCUGGAAGAUUGAGGGGGGCUGCUCCUAGUACGAGAGGACCGGAGUGGACGCAUCACUGGUGUUCGGGUUGUCAUGCCAAUGGCACUGCCCGGUAGCUACAUGCGGAAGAGAUAAGUGCUGAAAGCAUCUAAGCACGAAACUUGCCCCGAGAUGAAUCUUCCCUGAGCCUUUAAGGCUCCUGAAGGAACGUUGA